AAAGUUUGACCUCAAAUCAGGUAGGAUUACCCGCUGAACUUAAGCAUAUCAAUAAGCGGAGGAAA
This 65-nucleotide ribosomal RNA is filed under the name Kurtzmaniella fragi. RNAcentral describes it as "[Candida] fragi partial 28S ribosomal RNA". It matches the Rfam family "Eukaryotic large subunit ribosomal RNA", at positions 1 to 59 of the family's 3401-position model. The record is from RNAcentral. Lineage: Eukaryota; Fungi; Ascomycota; Pichiomycetes; Serinales; Debaryomycetaceae.